AUGUACCGCGCGUACUUUCCGGUUCUGAGCGCGCCGUCCACAGCCACGUGACGACUGCUCGUUACGUGCUGUUAGGG
Molecule: small RNA, 77 nt
Filed under: Xanthomonas dyei
Lineage: Bacteria; Pseudomonadati; Pseudomonadota; Gammaproteobacteria; Lysobacterales; Lysobacteraceae
Description: sX9 sRNA
Rfam family: Xanthomonas sRNA sX9
Source: RNAcentral